GGAUGUAGCUCAGUGGUUGAGUGCUUACCUAGCAUGAGUGAGGUGUUGGGUUCAAUUCCCAACAUCACCA
RNAcentral lists this transfer RNA (70 nucleotides) under Ictidomys tridecemlineatus (thirteen-lined ground squirrel). RNAcentral's name for it is "Spermophilus tridecemlineatus (thirteen-lined ground squirrel) tRNA". It matches the Rfam family "tRNA". Rfam says of the family: Transfer RNA (tRNA) molecules are approximately 80 nucleotides in length. Lineage: Eukaryota; Metazoa; Chordata; Mammalia; Rodentia; Sciuridae. The record is from Rfam by way of RNAcentral.